UACGGAGGGUGCAAGCGUUAAUCGGAAUUACUGGGCGUAAAGCGCAUGUAGGCGGUCUCGGUAAGUACCUUGUGAAAUCCCGUUCUCUCAAUGAAGGAACCGCUUGGUAUACUGCCGGGCUGGAGGCAGUAGGGGUCGACUGGAACUCUAGGUGGAGCGGUGAAAUGCGUAGAUAUCUAGAGGAACGCCCGUGGCGAAAGCGGGUGACUGGGCCUGUCCUGACGCUGAGAUGCGAAAGCGUGGGGUAGCAAACGGGAUUAGAAACCCCUGUAGU
This 274-nucleotide ribosomal RNA is filed under the name uncultured bacterium. RNAcentral describes it as "partial 16S ribosomal RNA". It matches the Rfam family "Bacterial small subunit ribosomal RNA", at positions 524 to 794 of the family's 1533-position model. The record is from RNAcentral.